AACGAACGCUGGCGGCAUGCCUAACACAUGCAAGUCGAACGAGACCUUCGGGUCUAGUGGCGCACGGGUGCGUAACGCGUGGGAACCUGCCCUUAGGUUCGGAAUAACUCCCCGAAAGGGGUGCUAAUACCGGAUAAUGUCUUCGGACCAAAGAUUUAUCGCCUUUGGAUGGGCCCGCGUUGGAUUAGCUAGUUGGUAGGGUAAAAGCCUACCAAGGCGACGAUCCAUAGCUGGUCUGAGAGGAUGAUCAGCCACACUGGGACUGAGACACGGCCCAGACUCCUACGGGAGGCAGCAGUGGGGAAUAUUGGACAAUGGGCGAAAGCCUGAUCCAGCAAUGCCGCGUGAGUGAUGAAGGCCUUAGGGUUGUAAAGCUCUUUUACCCGGGAUGAUAACGACAGUACCGGGAGAAUAAGCACCGGCUAACUCCGUG
RNAcentral lists this ribosomal RNA (433 nucleotides) under uncultured bacterium. Its description in RNAcentral is "partial 16S ribosomal RNA". It matches the Rfam family "Bacterial small subunit ribosomal RNA", at positions 29 to 507 of the family's 1533-position model. The record is from RNAcentral.